AUUGGUGACUCUGUGGCCAAAGGAGCCUCUGCACGUGGGCAGCAAUUGAGCUGAAUUGCCAACAGCUGUGCUGCUCCUGCCCCCCUGCUCUGCCUCAGUGUGUGCUGCUCCUGCCUCACUGCUCUUGGGCGACAUGUUCUGCUCUGCCUCCUGCUUCGAACUGGCUUGGCCCUGAUGUUUUGGGCUUCAGCUAUCUGGGAAAUUUAAGUGCCUCCAGGUUCCCAGGAGAAGGAUCUAAGUGCCUCAUGAUGUGGCAAGAAGUGCCACCAACGUUGUGCUCUCUGCACACCUGCGAGAGGUCCUGCCUGUGCCUCUGCAAACCUCUGAGCCAAGGGGAGCCAGGAUCAAGUUGGAGAUCAUCUGCAUCUUUCACAGCACCCUGCUAGAGCCUGGGAAGAUCUGGAAGUCUCUCAGUGGCUAUCAAGACACUGAGCAGCUCCAACACUGCUGCAAAGGAGCCAUGGACUAUCUUGAGAUGUCUGCUGCACCACAGCUUUCUUCAGUCCAGCUGGCAUUCCUUACCUGCCUUCAACAAAGUCUGCAGUGGCUUUUGCUGAGCUAAGUCUUCAUAUGUGCCUCUACCCUCACUGACCUUCAGCUGCUCCUGCUGCCACUGAUCAUACCCUUCCCUGAGAUGUUCUUCUCCAUUAGUGACUCUAACAUCUUUGGAAUCACAUUUUGUGAUCAUGACACAUUUUGAAUAAUGUUUAUCACAUUUUGUCACUUCAUCAUAUUUUGAAUUGUUUUUUGUCAUCUUCUGACCCUUCAACAGCUUUCUGUGAGGAUGCCCCAAAGACCUGCUCUUGGUUUUUCCUUUACUCUUUCCCUCUUGUCUCUUGGUACUCUUAUCGACAAAUAAAUAAUUACCUGAUGUCUGUUGAUGGGUCACAGA
Long non-coding RNA from Pogoniulus pusillus (Red-fronted tinkerbird), 892 nucleotides. RefSeq lists it as uncharacterized. The transcript is spliced from 2 exons. The record is from RefSeq and is a predicted model, not a curated record. NCBI's taxonomy places the organism in Eukaryota, Metazoa, Chordata, Aves, Piciformes, Lybiidae.